GACGAACGCUGGCGGCGUGCUUAACACAUGCAAGUCGUACGGUAAGGCCCUUUCGGGGGUACACGAGUGGCGAACGGGUGAGUAACACGUGAGUAACCUGCCCACAACUUUGGGAUAACGCUAGGAAACUGGUGCUAAUACUGGAUAUGUUCUCCUGCUGCAUGGUGGGGGUUGGAAAGCUCCGGCGGUUGUGGAUGGACUCGCGGCCUAUCAGCUUGUUGGUGGGGUAGUGGCCUACCAAGGCGGCGACGGGUAGCCGGCCUGAGAGGGUGACCGGCCACAUUGGGACUGAGAUACGGCCCAGACGCCUACGGGAGGCAGCAGUGGGGAAUAUUGCACAAGGGGCGCAAGCCUGAUGCAGCAACGCCGCGUGCGGGAUGACGGCCUUCGGGUUGUAAACCGCUUUCAGCAGGGACGAAGCUUUUUGUGACGGUACCUGCAGAAGAAGCACCGGCUAACUACGUG
RNAcentral lists this ribosomal RNA (465 nucleotides) under uncultured bacterium. RNAcentral's name for it is "partial 16S ribosomal RNA". It matches the Rfam family "Bacterial small subunit ribosomal RNA", at positions 28 to 507 of the family's 1533-position model. The record is from RNAcentral.